This 475-nucleotide ribosomal RNA is filed under the name uncultured bacterium. Its description in RNAcentral is "partial 16S ribosomal RNA". It matches the Rfam family "Bacterial small subunit ribosomal RNA", at positions 28 to 523 of the family's 1533-position model. The record is from RNAcentral.
GGUGAACGCUGGCGGCGUGCUUAAGACAUGCAAGUCGAACGCAGUCUUCGGACUGAGUGGCGCACGGGUGAGUAACACGUAACUGACCUACCCCCAAGUCGCGGAUAACUGGCCGAAAGGUCAGCUAAUUCGUGAUGUGAUGUCCCCUUUCUGGGGGGCCAUUAAAGGUUUACUGCUUGGGGAUGGGGUUGCGUUCCAUCAGCUAGUUGGCGGGGUAAAGGCCCACCAAGGCAACGACGGAUAGCCGGCCUGAGAGGGUGGCCGGCCACAGGGGCACUGGGACACGGGUCCCACUCCUACGGGAGGCAGCAGUUAGGAAUCUUCCACAAUGGGCGAAAGCCUGAUGGAGCGACGCCGCGUGAGGGAUGAAGGUUCUCGGAUCGUAAACCUCUGAAUCAGGGACGAAAGACGCGUAAGCGGGAUGACGGUACCUGAGUAAUAGCACCGGCUAACUACGUGCCAGCAGCCGCCGUAA